UUCUACUUAACUUUCGUAACGGACUCUCCUUUGCUGCUUCUUUCUUGUCUCUUAUGGCGUUGUUCUUGUUCGUCUGGUCUUGUCUAACUUCUCUUCUAUAUCUAACUUGUCUAACUUCUUCCUCGUCCCUGAGUACUGCCCGAGAGGCAGUAGGUUCGCUGUUCAGUUCUCUUGGUAAUGACUGUUGGAUGGCGCUGAACGUCUCUCUUUUUCUCUUGUAAAUGAUCUGUGUAAAAGUUAUAUUUUCUGAGGUCAUUAUUUUCAGACGCUUCCGCCUCUCACUUCAAUUUCCAAAAGUCACAAAGGAGAAUAUUCGGGCUCUCAUGAGUGUUUUUAAGGUUCAUGGUACAGAAGCCUUGUCAAACUAUCAGUAGGCUCAUAAAACUACCCAUGGAAAUGCCCACAGCCUCUACGAAAGCCUUAUCAAAUGUGGGUGUUUGAGAGUAUGGGCCUACUGUAGUUCUCUGGUUAAUGAUAUCUGGAUGACGUUUGACUUCUCUCUCCCUCUCUUGCAUAUAUGAUCAGUUUAUGAGUGAUACUGUCGAAGGGUUACUCGUCUACUUUCACCUCUUCAUGCUUCAUUCACCUAGCUAAUCCUACUUCCUCCUUAAUCAAAUCCAUUUUUUAUCUCUCUCUCUCUCUCCAUGGUGUUGAAUAUUCACUGUCACUCUUGUACUGGUUCUGGUUCAACAAUUUCUUUACGGUGAGGGACCCAGCUAAAGGGCAACAGCAACACAACAAAAUGACUGCUAAGAUAUUGACGCUACUUACUUAUCUUGUUGGCUUCACACCCCACUUGAACGCGUGCUUUCUUAUCUUAUUUUGUGAAGCGCUGAAGUCUUCCGCUAAUGACUUAUCUUGUAGUGAAGCAAUGCAGUUUUUUUUUUGGAUAACCUAUUUGAUCUUGUAGAAUGAAGCGAUGCAUUUUUUUUUUUUUUUUGAGAAGCGCUGCAGUCUUAACGCUAAUAUCUUACCUAGUGAAGCGCUAUUAGUCUAACGCCAAUGAUUAUCUUAUUUCGUCAAGUGUGGCAGUUUUACGUUAAUAUCUAUCUUAUCUCGUAAUGGAGCGAUGGAGUUUCUGGCGGAUGACUAACUUAUUUUGUGAAGCGCUGCAGUCUUACGCUAAUGACUAUCUUGUCUUAUGAAGCGCUGCAGUUUUACGCUAAUGACUAUCUUGUCUUAUGAAGCGCUGCAGUUUUACGUUAAUGACUAUCUUAUCUUGUGAAGCGAUGGAGUAUUACUAAUGAUUCUUUUUAGGAGCAGCGAGUAGCGGUUUUUUUUUUUAUCAUUGUUUCCUUUUUUGUGCCCUUGAGCUGUCUCCUUUGUUGUAAAAAAAAAAAAUAAUAAUGGCUAUCUGAUCUCGUAAUAAAGCAGUGCAGUUUUACGUUAAUGACUAUCUUAUCUUGUGAGGCGCUGCAGUCUUAACGCUAAUACUGUUUCUUAUCUUGUGAAGCGCUGCGGUUUUAAGCUAAUGACUAUCUUAUCUUGUGGAGCACUGCAAUCAUAUACUAAUGAAUAUUUGAUCAAACGACUCUUUUUUUAAUCAUUUCGACUUCACGCUGGCGGUAAAUAGAACGAUAAAUCCGUCCAUCCAUUAAAGUUACUGAUUUUCCACUUUUAUUAUGCGUGCAGAACCCUGAUACAACAACACUUUUUCGGUCAUCUUCUUUUUAUCAGCGCGCCAUUUCUUGUCGUUUUUCUUCUGUUUCUCCUUCGCAUGUCUUUGUUUCCUACACGUCUUCACUUCUCCCUUUCCCGCUACUUAUGUUUCCUUUAUUAUCUUUUACUUCUUUUACUUCCUUCCGUAUGUAUCUCUUUUAUCGUUCAUUAUCUCCUUUGCACGUCUCUCCCCUUCAGUCAUCGUCUUUCCCUUUCAGUCAUCGUCUCUCCCCUUCACGCAUCGUCUCUCCCCUUCAGUCAUCGUCUCUCCCCUUCAGUCAUCGUCUCUCCCCUUCAGUCAUCGUCUCUCCCCUUCCGUCAUCGUCUCUCCCCUUCACGCAUCGUCUCUCCCCUUCACGCAUCGUCUCUCCCCUUCAGUCAUCGUCUCUCCCCUUCAGUCUCUCGUUUCGCUCACUGUCUCCUUUGUACAACCCUUUUUUCUAGCUCAUUGCCUCUUGCUUACGUCUUUUCUUCAUCUAUCGACCUUUCAUUACGUUGCUUCUUUUUUCCUUCAGUGUCUUCGUUCUGCACCUUUUAUUCCGGGAGUUGUCUUCUAUAUCGCUUUUCCUUCCGCGUUCUGUUUUAACAUCUUCUAUUUUUGUCUAUUUUAUCUUUACACCAAAGGAGACGGCACAAGGGCACAAAAAAAAGGAAGCUAUGAAAAAAAGCCCGCUACUCGCUGCUCCUGUAUUUGUUUUUCCUCACAUUUUUUCCUUCCUUAUCGCCUUCCUGUGUUGUCUAUUUUUGCUCCACUGCUUCCAUCAUACGUUGUUGUUUUGCUUGUUCUCCAUUAUUAUUAUUUUGUCCAUCGCUCAUUUUUCUCGCCCAUUAUUUCGUUUAUUACUUCAUUUUCUACUCCAGUCACUUAGGUCGAUAUAAUAAGACACUUUCUCUUAUCACAUCAGCUAUUUCUAAAGGUCAAAGAGGGGGUCAGUCGGGUUCUAAUGAGUGUUUUCUCAGGUUCAUGGUACAGCAGAAUUGUCAAAGUACCACCAAGGUCACAAAACUACUCCUGGAAAUGCCCACAACUCCUACGAAAGCCUUGUCAAAUAGGUGUUUUUGGGUGACGAAAUGUCUUACAAUACGACCCUUAUACUCCACAAGCUGCAUGGUAUAAAUUUACUCCUUCAUCGUUCUUUCCUCUUCUACUUAAAAAGCCGAGCACAGGUACGACAUUAUUUUAUGGUGUGUGAAAUUGUCUGUGAAAAUUGUCUAAUGCAUUUUGCUACGCUAUAAGUGACAACGACCUCCUGUCAAGACGCUAAAUGGGUGAGGCGCUUUUUCUUUCUGUCUCUCUCUGUGUCUCCUCAUACAAACCCCAGUCACGCUCUCAGUAUUGGUCUCCCCUGUCAUGUGUUGGUAUUUAUAGUGAGAGAUAUGUAUGUGUGCCGUCUCUUUCAAUUUGCGUUUAGAGAAGGAGAGAUAGACAAAACUCACACACACAGACAUACAAACACACACACACACACACACACACACACACACACAACACAUCACUCACAGCGACACGGCACUUGCAACAUCAGACCUCGAUAACAAUAGUAUUUCUUUGAUUCAUCGAAAGAAAAAGAAAAAAAGGUAAGAAUACGCAAUACUUUACAUCCAGAAACAUCAAAAUACAACCGGCAGGGACUUCAGAAACAGCAAUACACAACACAUCACACGCAGAAGAAACUCAACACUAACAUCGGAACCAUAACAGCAGCAGUAACAUCAGGAAUAGAAACACACAUCACAUCACACACAGCAGCAACACAACACGGCACUAGCCUCGGCAUCACAACAGCAGCAGUAACAUCAGGAAUAAACACACAGCACAUCACACAGCAGCAACACAACACGGCACUAACAUCGGAACCACAACAGCAGCAGUAACAUCAGGAAUAAACACACAGCACAUCACACACAGCAGCAACACAACACGGCACUAGCCUCGGAACCACAACAGCAGCAGUAACAUCAGGAAUAAACACACAGCACAUCACACACAGCAGCAACACAACACGGCACUAGCCUCGGAACCACAACAGCAGCAGUAACAUCAGGAAUAGAAACACACAACACAAACACAACACAAGACUAACAUCAACAGAACCACAACAUCAGCAGCAACAUCGGGAACAGCUAUAUGAAUUACAUUUUCUUUCAUUCCCUCUGAAGAAAAGGGGUAAGAAGAUAACCUGUUCAACGACUUAUUCAAUCUCACCUUCUCGACGCAACGCGAACUGUAUCACGGCAACAACGUCAACACCAACAAUGUCAGCAACAGCGAGACAAACAUAUAUGACGCAACCUUCCCCUUAAAAAUUGCAAAAAGAUAAAAAACGAAAAAAAGUUCAUUAUUUUGAUCUAACUUUUUCGGCUGUACACCCAGACGCAAUGAAACAACCAUUAACAUCAUGAAUAAUAACUUGAGAAAAUCUUUAUAUAACUUCCUUUAAGAGGAAAAGUUAAACACAUGACUUUUCCUUAUUCUAUCUUACUUCCUCGCGUCUAUAUAAUCACACGCAACGCAGGGAACGUCAGUCAACUUCAAAAUCAUCGCCAAUAUCAACAUCGUCGAUAACAUCAGCAAUAGCACCUGCAAAUCUUUCUCCCUUAUUACCCUUAAGAUAGAAAAAGCGAAUAAUAUAAAAACCCGCUCAUUAAUCUUUCCUCUGGCGUUAACACCUCCAGGCGUUACACAAAUAGCAACAUCAUUAAGAAAAACAUCAGUGAAACUUUCUCUCGCCACCUUAACGAAAGAGAAAGGUAAAAACUAGAUCCAUUUAUUAUUUCAUCUUAUAGCCUCGCUUCCACACCCCUAACGCAGCAAGAAAAGCAGUACCGGCAGCAAAACCAGCCAUGAUAAGCACAGUCAACCUCUAUCUCACUUCUCCCAAAGAAAGAGAACAAAAAGAAGCAGAGCAAGUUCUUGUUUAAUUUAAUUUCUUCGCGUCUACACCUAAACGUUAGGCAAACAUUACCAUCACCAACGCCAACAAAAAUUAACUAAACUUUUCUUUCCCUUCCCUUAAAAGAAAAAUAUUUUAAUAAAGGAAAAAAAUACUUCCUUAUUUAAUCUUACUUCGUCUCAUACCCUUAAAAAGUAAAGCAAGAAAAAAAAAUAUAUUCCUUAUUUUCUCUCCCUUCCCUUGAAAAAGAAUAACAAUGGUAAGGGAAAAGCAGAACAGUUCCUUAUUUAAUCUUACUUCUCCUUGUCAUGCCCUCUAAAAAGAAAGCAGGAACAAAAAGCAAAUAUAUUUUUUAUUCUAUCUUGCCUCGCGUCUUGCUUCGCAUAAUGCAAUAAAAAGCAGGAAAACCAGAUCGACUUUAACAUUUCCUCUUCACACACACACACACACACACACACACACACACACAGAGGCAACACAACACAGACAGCAACACCGUCAAUAAUAAAAACCGCAAACCUUUCUCUCACUCCUGAUAAAGACGAAGGAAAAAAAAUGAACAACUCGCAUCUUACUUCUUCGCGUCCUGCUCCAUGGUGGGGGCGAGGUGCGGGGGCGGGGGUGGGGCCGACGCGACGCUCAUGCCCACUGCUCACCACACUCGUACCUGACGACUCUGGGUGCAACAAGAUCAACAAGUCACUUCCCGGGGCACGCGACAAGGCAGGCUGAGGCAGGCACGCGGGUCCUCCCUCCACUGGCCGGCGCACUUGACAGGUAGGCAACUGAGGGCGCGGGCGUGAAGGAGCUCGCGACCUGCACUCCGCUCACCUCAAACAAGACACUUGGGAGGCGAGACACAACCCUCGACUGACACCCGUUUCCAUGCCCGGUACCCAUUCAGUGCUGGGUGGACAGGAGGCACGGAUUAAGGGAGACUGCCCAUUUGUCUCCACCUCGCCCGGGAAAAGAACCCGGGACCUCUCAGUUGUGAGGCGGGCGUGCUAAUCUCCGCACUAUAGGGCUGUGUAUGCGUGAGGGGUGGUGCUGAUUAAUAUGCCUGUAGUUAA
Eriocheir sinensis (Chinese mitten crab) is the source of this 5623-nucleotide long non-coding RNA. RefSeq lists it as uncharacterized. The record is from RefSeq and is a predicted model, not a curated record. Lineage: Eukaryota; Metazoa; Arthropoda; Malacostraca; Decapoda; Varunidae. The transcript has 2 exons.